RNAcentral lists this long non-coding RNA (963 nucleotides) under Citrus x clementina. RNAcentral describes it as "Citrus clementina (C. clementina) long non-coding RNA (CCLE_LNC005610)". The record is from RNAcentral. Lineage: Eukaryota; Viridiplantae; Streptophyta; Magnoliopsida; Sapindales; Rutaceae.
GCUUUUUAAGUUAAAAAAAACAAACAACUUAAUCCUUAUUUUCCGAGAUUCAAACGAAAAAACAAACAUAUUAUUCAGAUUCAGACAUUCAGACCUAUUCAGAAUUCAGACUAAUUCACGUCUAUUCAGAUUUCAGACAAAAAAAUAACCGCCACCUUAGCCCCUUCUUAAUACCAUGCAAAUCUCGAGAUAAGCCCAACCUCCUUUAGUUAGCAAACCCAACACAUUCCAUUCAUGCACAAUCAAUAUGCCAUACUGGCUUGACUCGGAGAAAUACACCCCCCAAACCCGAAAGGUACCAAAAAAUAUUAAAAUACGAAAAUAAACCCAAUGUUUAAUGAUUUGUCAACAAAAAGAAAAACAAGUUCGUUUGAUCUUUUUCUCGACAAAACCAUAUUAAGCCUGCGCCCUCAUCGUGAAUUGAUGUGAAAUGAAUGGUUAAUUAUUAGUUCCUGGUAUAAACUUAUCAUCAUUACAAAUUUCUUUUUGCUCUCGCUGCACUGUUCCAAUUCUAUUGUGCUAUAUUUUAUAUAUCCUCCAAUGAACAACAAAUCUAAAUUUCAAAAUGCAUUUAUUCUUUAAAAUCUACCUUAUUAUCUCUUCUCUGGCAUUUUGCAUGUGCAUUAAUUCAAGUUGAUGCCUUGGUGUAAAGCCCUUUUCUUUUCAUUUGAUUCAUGUGUUUCAAUUAAUUUUUUAAAAAUAGGCCUCCAUGUUCCCUUCUUCACUUUUAUCAACUUAUGAAUUCUCUAGUUUUAUGGUUAGCAUCCCUUUCGUGGGCAUCUGGCUUUGUACAUCAAUGGAUCCAUCAGAUAUUCAGAUUGUUGUUUUGCAUGUAGCCUUCUAAUUCUUUUAUCUAUUUUCUAACAGUGGAUUUUCAUUUUUUUUCUUUUCUAAUAUUUUGGUAAAAUGUAUUAUUAUGGAACUUGAAAAGAAUUUAGACAUGAUUAGUUCUAUAAUAUUACU